RNAcentral lists this ribosomal RNA (484 nucleotides) under uncultured bacterium. RNAcentral's name for it is "partial 16S ribosomal RNA". It matches the Rfam family "Bacterial small subunit ribosomal RNA", at positions 30 to 507 of the family's 1533-position model. The record is from RNAcentral.
AUUGAACGCUGGCGGCAGGCCUAACACAUGCCAGUCGAGCGGAUGCAGGGAGCUUGCUCCUGGAUUCAGCGGCGGACGGGUGAGUAAUGCCUAGGAAUCUGCCUGGUAGUGGGGGAUAACGUCCGGAAACGGGCGCUAAUACCGCAUACGUCCUGAGGGAGAAAGUGGGGGAUCUUCGGACCUCACGCUAUCAGAUGAGCCUAGGUCGGAUUAGCUAGUUGGUGGGGUAAAGGCCUACCAAGGCGACGAUCCGUAACUGGUCUGAGAGGAUGAUCAGUCACACUGGAACUGAGACACGGUCCAGACUCCUACGGGAGGCAGCAGUGGGGAAUAUUGGACAAUGGGCGAAAGCCUGAUCCAGCCAUGCCGCGUGUGUGAAGAAGGUCUUCGGAUUGUAAAGCACUUUAAGUUGGGAGGAAGGGCAGUAAGUUAAUACCUUGCUGUUUUGACGUUACCAACAGAAUAAGCACCGGCUAACUUCGUG